GGAAAAACGCGUGAUGGCGAUGUG
RNAcentral lists this non-coding RNA (24 nucleotides) under Arabidopsis thaliana (thale cress). Lineage: Eukaryota; Viridiplantae; Streptophyta; Magnoliopsida; Brassicales; Brassicaceae. The record is from RNAcentral.